This 254-nucleotide ribosomal RNA is filed under the name uncultured bacterium. RNAcentral describes it as "partial 16S ribosomal RNA". It matches the Rfam family "Bacterial small subunit ribosomal RNA", at positions 524 to 776 of the family's 1533-position model. The record is from RNAcentral.
UACAUAGGUCGCGAACGUUAUCCGGAAUUAUUGGGCGUAAAGGAUGCGUAGGUGGUUCGAUAAGUUACUGGUGGGAAAUCGAGGCUCAACCUCGUGGAAGUCAGUAAUACUAUCGAGCUUGAGUGCAGGAGAGGUUAAUGGAAUUUUAUGUGGAGCGGUAAAAUGCGUAGAUAUAUAAAAGAACAUCAAUUGGCGAAGGCAGUUAACUAUUCUGCUACUGACAUUGAGGCAUGAAAGCGUGGGGAGCAAAACGG